CUACGGGAGGCACCAGUGGGGAAUAUUGCACAAUGGGCGCAAGCCUGAUGCAGCCAUGCCGCGUGUAUGAAGAAGGCCUUCGGGUUGUAAAGUACUUUCAGCGGGGAGGAAGGGAGUAAAGUUAAUACCUUUGCUCAUUGACGUUACCCGCAGAAGAAGCACCAGCUAACUCCGUGCCAGCAGCCGCGAGUAAUACGGAGGGUGCAAGCGUUAAUCGGAAUUACUGGGCGUAAAGCGCACGCAGGCGGUUUGUUAAGUCAGAUGUGAAAUCCCCGGGCUCAACCUGGGAACUGCAUCUGAUACGGGCAAGCUUGAGUCUCGUAGAGGGGGGUAGAAUUCCAGGUGUAGCGGUGAAAUGCGUAGAGAUCUGGAGGAAUACCGGUGGCGAAGGCGGCCCCCUGGACGAAGACUGACGCUCAGGUGCGAAAGCGUGGGGAGCAAACAGGAUUAGAUACCCGGGUAGUC
RNAcentral lists this ribosomal RNA (465 nucleotides) under uncultured bacterium. RNAcentral describes it as "partial 16S ribosomal RNA". It matches the Rfam family "Bacterial small subunit ribosomal RNA", at positions 339 to 795 of the family's 1533-position model. The record is from RNAcentral.